Molecule: long non-coding RNA, 2167 nt
Organism: Bos taurus (domestic cattle)
Lineage: Eukaryota; Metazoa; Chordata; Mammalia; Artiodactyla; Bovidae
Source: Ensembl
CACACUUUCUCACCUCCUUCGAUGUCUCCAACUGCCCCCGAGGGCUGAGGCUGGCACAUCCUUGCAGAGAGCGGCUGUCUACACAGGUGCCUCCCCUCGGGUGUAUUAACCUACCACCUCCCCCCCGCCCCCCGCGAAUGUCCAGUUCCCCGCCCCCUCCCCGCCCGAAGGAAAGAGAGAACACUGGCCUCCUGCAGGGAAAGCAUUUAUCUUGCUUUCUCUACAAAAGCCCGGGACUGGACCGAAGCGAGGAGCUGCCUCCAUUCACUCUAUCAUCUCAUGAGCCCUACGGGAACCAGGCACCCUGCUAGGCGAUUGGGAGGAGCGACUGAAAGACAAGAUGGAUACAAACCGUAGAAGGAGGUCACAGUCCGGUGAAAAGAUGGACACGCAAGUGGGUGAUUUCAAAAUUCUGGAAGCAAAGACUGUCCCUCUCUGCGCGACCCAGUGUGCUACCCUCCCUCUCAUUCCGGCACACCCAGCAGCCUUCGGCCCAUCCUUCCCGCUCUAUUCUGUUCCGUUUCUCCUAUUCCAAGGGCUUCUUCCUGACUUGACUGGUUCCCCUCUCUUGAAAAAAAAAAAAAAAAAAGGCAAAACUUCAGGUGAUGCUCCCUGUACCAUCUGAAACACAGAUUCAUUUAUAACCACUAAACGCUUGUUUUGUGCCUGGCUUCCUGUCAUGGGCUGGACAGGUCUCGGAGUUCUGAUGGUCAAACCUCAGCAUCUGCAUAAGGCACUGUAGGAGCUGUGAGAACAGCCGGCUAGCUGCUUACAAGUUCUCCCUGGAAGCGACCUCUGUCAUCCCGGGGAAGCUGGAGUACUCCUGCUGGGCGUCUGCAGGCCAGAAUAUCUUUCGUGAGGGGUCACCUGUGCUUUUUCGUGGAUUGGUCCCAGCAUCUCUUCUUCCAUGAGCAAUUCAGAGAAUACCCUAAGGCUACACCUUCUUCUUCUGGUUGGACUCACGGUCACAUUCUCACCAGUCUUGCUUGGCAGUCUCUAGGAGUUACUGAGUCAACCUUGCCUCCCUCUUCAGCCUCUGAAUAGCCCCUGGGCAGAGACUUUGCCACAGCUCUCAUUCAUCGAGUCGGCCAGGCAAGCUGAGACCCAGAGAGCUCACUGGUCUUGACCAAGGUCAGAUCACGAGCUUGUGGCUGAGCCAGGACCGGACACCAAGUCCACUGGCCUAGGUGGCCAACAACUCAUCUGCCUCCAGGUGAAAUUAAACCAAGUCAGGGUAUAUUUGGGGUGCAAAGAAAAGAGAAAGUGGGCUCUCAAUGCAUGGACAUUUCUGAACCAGACGGAUCCGCCUGUCAACAUCCCACUGGGGGCACUGGAAAAACAUUGAUGUCAAGAAGAUCUGGGUUUGAAUCUAAAAGCUAUCAAAUGACUCUUAGUGAGUUACUUCAUCAAAGUCUCAGAUUUGAAAAGAUUGAUUAUUUUAAUUGUGGUAAAGUAAACAUAACAUGCCUGCAAUGCAGUAGAUGGGGUUUGAUCCCUGGGUUGGAAAGAUCCCCUGGAAAAGGAAAAGGCAACCUACUGUAAUAUUCUUUCCUGGGAAAUGCCAUGGACAGAGGAGCCUGGCAGGUUACAGUCCAUGGGGUCUCAAGAGUCGGACAGGACUUCGUGACUAAAUCACCACCAAACAUGACAUUAAAUUCCUGGCAUUUUAUAGGUACCUAGAAGAUAUUAGUGCUUAUGAAUUUCAACAAGGCUUGUCACAUAAGGCUCAUUGGAUAUCUUUAUAGCCUUUUUGGACUUUUUUCUGGUUAGUAAUGUAUAGAGGAAUGUUUCUUAUGCAAAAUUUGAGAGUACAGAAUGUGAAGAACACCAGAAUUCUUUAUAACCUCCCUCCCUGAGAUACCUAUUAUUAACAUUUGACUCAUACUAUUUCCAUCUUUCUUAAAGGUAUACUGAAUAGGAGCAUAUGAAUAUAAUUUUAUGUCUUUUCUUUGAAAUUAGUAUAACAAACACUUCUUUAUAACUUGCUUGGCUUUAGCUCAUCUUCAUAUCCUGAAACAUCUGCAAUUCAAUAUGCUUUCAAACACUUGCUUAAUAAUGUAGCAUAUGCAUCCAGAAUAAGAGAUUUAGCCCUUUCUCUCACUGAACAAAUUAGACUAUUUCUGAUCAGUCAUUCUUUAUGAUAUAGAAAACUGGCAUGGAAAUUCUG